This 775-nucleotide ribosomal RNA is filed under the name uncultured Neocallimastigales. Its description in RNAcentral is "partial large subunit ribosomal RNA". It matches the Rfam family "Eukaryotic large subunit ribosomal RNA", at positions 24 to 616 of the family's 3401-position model. The record is from RNAcentral. Lineage: Eukaryota; Fungi; Neocallimastigomycota; Neocallimastigomycetes; Neocallimastigales.
UACGACUACAUAUCAGGCAUAUCAAUAAGCGGAGGAAAAGAAACUAACAAGGAUUCCCUUAGUAACGGCGAGUGAAGCGGGAAGAGCUCAAAUUUGAAAUCUUCAAGGUUUUACCUUGACGAAUUGUAGUUUAAAGAAGUGUUUUCUGUUGAAGUUUUGGUAAAAGUUCUUUGGAAUAGGACAUCAUAGAGGGUGAGAAUCCCGUAUUUGACCAUUAUUUUCAGCUGUGUGAUACACUUCCAAAGAGUCGGAUUGUUUGGGAAUGCAGUCCAAAAUGGGUGGUAAAUUUCAUCUAAAGCUAAAUAUUGGCGAGAGACCGAUAGCGAACAAGUACCGUGAGGGAAAGAUGAAAAGAACUUUGAAAAGAGAGUUAAACAGUACGUGAAAUUGUCAAAAGGGAAGCGUUUGACACCAGUGUUGUUUUCUCGAAAAUCAAUUAAAAAAGGCUGGAUUUUGUGUUGUAUUGACCUUAAUCAGCUUUCUUCACUCUUUUCUUGUCUUUUUUAAUGCACUUUUCGUUUAACAAGUCAACAUCAGUUUCUUUUGUUGUAAAAGGGUCAUUGGAAGGUGGCUUUCUCUUCGGAGAAAGUGUUUAUAGCCUUUGAUCUCUGCAAUCGGAGAGACUGAGGUCUGCAGCGUAGAUCCUUCGGGGUUAGAUACAUUUGUGCUAAGUUAUAGCUUUUCAUAGACAACUUGUUGACUAUGUUUAGCCUUGUAACUUACCCGCUUAUGCUAUUUUACCUACGCUUAGGAUGUUGAGCGCAUGUCUCUCUCU